AUACUUACCUGGCAGGGGAGACAACAUGAUCAGGCAGAUGGUUUUCCCAGGGCAAGGGUCUUCCCCUGCACUCUGGGUGUGCUGAUCUCUGUGAUUUCCCCAAAUGCAGGAAACUCGGCUGCAUAAUUUGUGGUAGUUGGGGACUGCAUUCGUGCUCUCCCCUG
This 164-nucleotide small nuclear RNA is filed under the name Opisthocomus hoazin. RNAcentral's name for it is "U1 spliceosomal RNA". It matches the Rfam family "U1 spliceosomal RNA". From Rfam's summary of the family: U1 is a small nuclear RNA (snRNA) component of the spliceosome (involved in pre-mRNA splicing). Its 5' end forms complementary base pairs with the 5' splice junction, thus defining the 5' donor site of an intron. The record is from Rfam by way of RNAcentral. Lineage: Eukaryota; Metazoa; Chordata; Aves; Opisthocomiformes; Opisthocomidae.